RNAcentral lists this ribosomal RNA (497 nucleotides) under uncultured bacterium. Its description in RNAcentral is "partial 16S ribosomal RNA". It matches the Rfam family "Bacterial small subunit ribosomal RNA", at positions 28 to 507 of the family's 1533-position model. The record is from RNAcentral.
GAUGAACGCUGGCGGCGUGCCUAAUACAUGCAAGUCGAGCGAACAGACGAGGAGCUUGCUCCUCUGACGUUAGCGGCGGACGGGUGAGUAACACGUGGCUAACCUACCUAUAAGACUGGGAUAACUUCGGGAAACCGGAGCUAAUACCGGAUAAUAUAUUGAACCGCAUGGUUCAAUAGUGAAAGACGGUUUUGCUGUCCCUUAUAGAUGGAUCCGCGCCGCAUUAGCUAGUUGGUAAGGUAACGGCUUACCAAGGCGACGAUGCGUAGCCGACCUGAGAGGGUGAUCGGCCACACUGGAACUGAGACACGGUCCAGACUCCUACGGGAGGCAGCAGUAGGGAAUCUUCCGCAAUGGGCGAAAGCCUGACGGAGCAACGCCGCGUGAGUGAUGAAGGUCUUCGGAUCGUAAAACUCUGUUAUUAGGGAAGAACAAAUGUGUAAGUAACUAUGCACGUCUUGACGGUACCUAAUCAGAAAGCCACGGCUAACUACGUG